Molecule: ribosomal RNA, 513 nt
Filed under: Triticum aestivum (bread wheat)
Lineage: Eukaryota; Viridiplantae; Streptophyta; Magnoliopsida; Poales; Poaceae
Description: partial small subunit ribosomal RNA
Source: RNAcentral
UUUCCGCUGCGAGGCUUUCACUUGAUGAGUUGCCUAAAAGAUGUUCCGACACUCAGAGGUGACAAUCACAUUGAGUGGAGGAAGAAAGUUGAACUGGCAUUUGUCUGUGCUGAUCUAGACUGGGUUCUAGAUGAACAACAGCCGGUCAGACCUACAGAGCCAGUAAGAGAGGCCUCUGAUGAUGAUGCUGCGUGGACUAAAAAGAGGGGGGAUUAUGCUCCUUUGGAGAUGUCCUACAUCAUAGAAAACCAAAAGUGGGUCAAUGCAAACAAAAAGUGCAUGGCCUUUAUAAAGAAUACAAUUGAGAGCGCCAUUGUGGGCUCCAUUGCCGCAGGGGAGUUGCUUUCAAAGAUAAAGAGCCAGUUCACUGGCUCUUCAAAGAUAUAUGCCACCCAGGUGUUAGAGCAACUGGUGACAGAACGCUACAUAGGUGGUAGUCAUGGAAUAAGAGAGCACAUCCUCAGGAUGAGCAAUAUGGCAGCAAAGCUCAAGCCCAUGGAUGCGGAUCUGGAG